This is a small nucleolar RNA of Rana temporaria (common frog), 66 nucleotides long. RefSeq annotates it as small nucleolar RNA SNORD58. The record is from RefSeq and is a predicted model, not a curated record. Lineage: Eukaryota; Metazoa; Chordata; Amphibia; Anura; Ranidae. The transcript has a single exon.
CUGCUGUGAUUACCUUCUUAGGACACCUUUGGAUACAACUAUGAAAAUAACUUGUAUCAGAGCAGC